AAAAAAUGAAAGAAAAAGAAAGUCACCUCAGACAGGGAUAAUUCAAGAUCAAAGAUGCUGUGGUUGAUACUGAUGGGGCUGCUGCUGCUGCACCUGUUCUAUAAGUUUAAAGGGAGUUCUGUGAACAAUCCAGUGAAACGUCAGGUGGACCCGAACAAGCUUGCCAAACUAAUAAAAGGCCUCAUGGAUAACUAUAAAGUAGAUGGUAUGUUCAGCCUGGCAGUAAGCAUCCCCAAUGAGGACCCAUACAACUUGGAUCAAGUUUUCAAAGAAAACCCCCCAGAUGACGUGAAGGAUAAGCUUUUAAAGGGUGAAGUGUACAAAGGCAAAAGACUUGUUGCCGCAAAAGUGGAAGCAGAGGAACAAGGUGAAAAACGUGAACAUGCCGAGUAUCGAGUUCUGAACAACUUAAAACUCGAGAGCGACAAUGGUAACCUGCUGGUCAUCUACUCGUAUGCUUCCCCCUGUUCCCUGAGAUGCACCAACAUAAAUAACCAUAACAACAUCAUCACAAAGAUCAACUCGGUCGUCAACAGUCAAAGAUGGGGGGAAACCGUCUUUGUGUUUGAAAAGGUAUUCCAGCCUAAAAAUGGAACGGUUGAGGAACAUGAACUGAUUCAAGCUCUUAACAAUCUUGGAAAAUCUAAAAUCCCUCUCAAGAACAUAUUUCGCUGUGACAAAAUAGAGGGAAGUUUUAAGUGCACAAGUUGUUCCAAUCCGGAUACCACCGGCGAAUCAGUCACCCCCUUCUGUUACACCAACAAACCAGGAAAAGACAACAAAAGUCUGGGCGGUUCUACUAAUGUUGAUGAUGAUAAUGGAUGGAAGACAGAGAAAUAACUGCUAAUGAGGGGUGUCCUCCUCACAAAGGUUCUCCCAGCUGCGUCAUGGAGACCUCUAGUAACCAACUUCAAUGCUUUGUGAGACACACACAGGGGGAUACUUGCUGUUGGUUUGUUCCUGUCUGGUAGAAAGAGGAGCGUCUCCUCAGGGAGGUUCUUCUUUUACAUUUUCUUAGAAAUGAGGAAGACUUUGAAGAAGGUGUGUUAGUGAGAUGUGAGAUCACAUGUUCCGCCCAGCAGACGCUUCUGAAGACAAAGAACGGGAAGUUUGAUGAUUGGCUUUGUUUAAUGUGCAGCAACACCUGUCCAAACAUGUGUGAUGAGGGACAAGCAGCUGGAUACCUGGUGGUUUGACACAUCACCGUUAACAAAUAUUUACAACCAGAUUCUGAACAUAGCAACGGCCCCACACAGUGCACAAUGCAGUGUGUAAAUGGUUCACAGUGACACCGGAAUCUCAGCCAGAGACGGGACCUAUUGGGACCACAGAAUCAGUCGCUGAGAUCAGGAGGAAGAAUACAUUGCUAUGAAUCAUAUUAAUGUGAGUGGAAAAGGGUGAAGCAUAGACUGAUACCGAUCAAACCUGUAUAUCUUGCUCCCCUGGUCCUGCGCAGUUGAUUCACCUGCUGAUCUGAUCUAAUGAGUUUCGAUUAACCCGUGAUCUCAGUGUCUUAUGGCGUCACAUUGGUAACAGAGCAUUCCGUACGACGACAACGAGCAAAGUCACAGACUCUGUGAAGGAUGAAUCAUAAGAUGUGGCGUCUGCAGGAGCCAGAGGAUGGUCGCAGCCACACUUCUGAGGCAUUGCACCGGUGGCUGAUGUCCUUGAACAAUGUAAUAAACGUCCGAGGCCUGUGACUUGGGCCAAAGAGAGACUGCUCUAAAGCAGAAGGGAGAGCUGAUCACGCAGAGAACUGUGUUCUGCAGUCACUUUAACACCUUAGAGCAGGGGUGUCAAACUCAAAUACACAGUGGGCCGAAAUAAAAAAAUUGAUACACGUCAAGGGCCAGAUGGGUUCAACGUUUAUUGAAAACGUAUUGAAAGAACUUGCUUAUGGCUCUAUCUGCAGUUUUUCCAGAGUAAUUUCAAGUGGACCGUUUCUACAGGCAAACAACAGCCAAACAUAAUUUACUUCAAGGACUAAUCAAAUGUCUUGUAGUAAAAAAUUGAAAAUGCGUCAAAGCACCGUUUGCUGCUUUGUGAUGCUCACUGGUCUGAGCCAGACACUUGGUGUCUCAUCUUGGAUACAAGCUCAUCAAUGUCUGGGGUCAGGCUUUGAGCUGAGGAAAUCCUCAGGAUGGAGUGAAGGUGCUGGAAGCUACAGAAUGUAAAUCUUCCCGUUCUUUGUCUUCAGAAGCGCCUGCUGGGCGCAACGUUUGAUCUCACAUCUCAAUCUCAAUAACAUCGCAUUUCUGAGAAAGAACCUCCCUGAGGGAAGUUCCCUGAGGGAUUGCUGCUAUUUAAAAAUGUUGCUUCCCUUAACUGAAAAAGAAGAAUACAAUGUAGCGAAAACACAGGUAAGUGGUGAAUAUAUUGAAUCUUAAAGGAGAUGUGUUUUCUAGUAGAUUGUGUGAAGUGUUCAUAUUUUAGCAGAAUAAUGUUUUUUAUUCAUAUUAACCUUUAAAUUUGUUUUACAUAUGAUGCUUUAUGUGAUUAUCUUCAAAACUUCACCCUAAAAUACACUUUUGGUCCUACGUACAUGCAUUUUAUCUAGUAGGCAGUUUAAAAUAUUAUAUUUGUUAAAAAAUGAAAUAGACAAAGCAUUAAUUUGCCUACGACUCGUUCUUUUCUUCAUCCACGUAAUGACAACAUGCCCUUAAUCAUUAAACUUCAUCUUGUCUCCAGAUUGCGAAGCUGUGUCUGAAAAUCUUGCUAAUAUCUUUAGCAACGCUGUUGUGUUUGUGCCUAUAGGGGAACAACAAGUAACCGUUAAGAAAUCGUUAAGAAAUGCAAAGAAUCCGUGUUUGCUGAUUAGUGCAGUCUGACAUGACCUGAAAGCAUUCAGGUCUUACAGAGGACAUUUGAGAACCUCCUUGAACUCUUUUCUCUUUUGUUUUACUUUUUAUUUUAACUUUAUGUCUUAAAUUUACGAACCCAUAGCUAUAGCAAAAAAACCCAAAGCAUAUUUUUUAUCUUAUUUUU
Pungitius pungitius (ninespine stickleback) is the source of this 2985-nucleotide long non-coding RNA. RefSeq lists it as uncharacterized. NCBI's taxonomy places the organism in Eukaryota, Metazoa, Chordata, Actinopteri, Perciformes, Gasterosteidae. The record is from RefSeq and is a predicted model, not a curated record. The transcript is spliced from 3 exons.